RNAcentral lists this ribosomal RNA (261 nucleotides) under uncultured prokaryote. RNAcentral's name for it is "partial 16S ribosomal RNA". It matches the Rfam family "Bacterial small subunit ribosomal RNA", at positions 524 to 784 of the family's 1533-position model. The record is from RNAcentral.
UACGGAGGAUCCGAGCGUUAUCCGGAUUUAUUGGGUUUAAAGGGUGCGUAGGCGGCUUUUUAAGUCAGCGGUGAAAUUUUGCAGCUUAACUGUAACAGUGCCGUUGAUACUGGGGAGCUAGGAUUUGGUUGCUGUGGGUGGAAUGUGUGGUGUAUCGGUGAAAUGCUUAGAGAUCACACAGAAUAUCGAUUGCGAAGGCAGCUCACAAAGCCAAGAUUGACGCUGAGGCACGAAAGUGUGGGGAUCAAACAGGAUUAGAUA